Molecule: ribosomal RNA, 279 nt
Filed under: uncultured bacterium
Lineage: Bacteria
Description: partial 16S ribosomal RNA
Rfam family: Bacterial small subunit ribosomal RNA
Source: RNAcentral
UGCCAGCAGCCGCGGUAAUACGAAGGGACCUAGCGUAGUUCGGAAUUACUGGGCUUAAAGAGUUCGUAGGUGGUUGAAAAAGUUGGUGGUGAAAUCCCAGAGCUUAACUCUGGAACUGCCAUCAAAACUAGUGAUCUAGAAUUUGGUAGGGGUUAGUAGAAUUUCCAGUGUAGAGGUGAAAUUCGUAGAUAUUGGAAAGAAUACCAGUGGCGAAGGCGACUAACUGGGCCAUUUUUGACGCUGAGAUACGAAAGCGUGGGUAGCAAACAGGAUUAGAUA